GUUUUUAUAGUUUAUUAAAACAUUUUAUUUUCAUUAAAAAGAUGGAAUUCCUUUAAAUA
RNAcentral lists this transfer RNA (59 nucleotides) under Tituria sagittata. Its description in RNAcentral is "tRNA-Glu". Lineage: Eukaryota; Metazoa; Arthropoda; Insecta; Hemiptera; Cicadellidae. The record is from RNAcentral.